GAGCUAAUGCUAACGGAGCAUGCCUGCCCCUGCACGCGGGCCCUCCCCUCGCUCCUGUCGGGAUACUGACCGAGGUAGAGCACGGUGGGGAUGAAGCCCCACCGGAUGACAAACUGCCCGCACUGGAACAGCUGCUGCAGCCGCUGUUUGGUCUCUUUGCUCAUCUUGGCCAUGAGUUUCUCCCGUGCUGCUCCGU
Salarias fasciatus (jewelled blenny) is the source of this 196-nucleotide long non-coding RNA. RefSeq lists it as uncharacterized. Lineage: Eukaryota; Metazoa; Chordata; Actinopteri; Blenniiformes; Blenniidae. The record is from RefSeq and is a predicted model, not a curated record. The transcript is spliced from 3 exons.